AGAGUUUGAUCAUGGCUCAGGAUGAACGCUGGCGGCGUGCCUAAUACAUGCAAGUCGAGCGAACAGAUAAGGAGCUUGCUCCUUUGACGUUAGCGGCGGACGGGUGAGUAACACGUGGAUAACCUACCUAUAAGACUGGGAUAACUUCGGGAAACCGGAGCUAAUACCGGAUAACAUAUUGAACCGCAUGGUUCAAUAGUGAAAGGCGGCUUUGCUGUCACUUAUAGAUGGAUCCGCGCCGUAUUAGCUAGUUGGUAAGGUAACGGCUUACCAAGGCAACGAUACGUAGCCGACCUGAGAGGGUGAUCGGCCACACUGGAACUGAGACACGGUCCAGACUCCUACGGGAGGCAGCAGUAGGGAAUCUUCCGCAAUGGGCGAAAGCCUGACGGAGCAACGCCGCGUGAGUGAUGAAGGUCUUCGGAUCGUAAAACUCUGUUAUCAGGGAAGAACAAAUGUGUAAGUAACUGUGCACAUCUUGACGGUACCUGAUCAGAAAGCCACGGCUAACUACGUGCCAGCAGCCGCGGUAAUACGUAGGUGGCAAGCGUUAUCCGGAAUUAUUGGGCGUAAAGCGCGCGUAGGCGGUUUUUUAAGUCUGAUGUGAAAGCCCACGGCUCAACCGUGGAGGGUCAUUGGAAACUGGAAAACUUGAGUGCAGAAGAGGAAAGUGGAAUUCCAUGUGUAGCGGUGAAAUGCGCAGAGAUAUGGAGGAACACCAGUGGCGAAGGCGACUUUCUGGUCUGUAACUGACGCUGAUGUGCGAAAGCGUGGGGAUCAAACAGGAUUAGAUACCCUGGUAGUCCACGCCGUAAACGAUGAGUGCUAAGUGUUAGGGGGUUUCCGCCCCUUAGUGCUGCAGCUAACGCAUUAAGCACUCCGCCUGGGGAGUACGACCGCAAGGUUGAAACUCAAAGGAAUUGACGGGGACCCGCACAAGCGGUGGAGCAUGUGGUUUAAUUCGAAGCAACGCGAAGAACCUUACCAAAUCUUGACAUCCUUUGACCGCUCUAGAGAUAGAGUCUUCCCCUUCGGGGGACAAAGUGACAGGUGGUGGCAUGGUUGUCGUCAGCUCGUGUCGUGAGAUGUUGGGUUAAGUCCCGCAACGAGCGCAACCCUUAAGCUUAGUUGCCAUCAUUAAGUUGGGCACUCUAAGUUGACUGCCGGUGACAAACCGGAGGAAGGUGGGGAUGACGUCAAAUCAUCAUGCCCCUUAUGAUUUGGGCUACACACGUGCUACAAUGGACAAUACAAAGGGCAGCUAAACCGCGAGGUCAAGCAAAUCCCAUAAAGUUGUUCUCAGUUCGGAUUGUAGUCUGCAACUCGACUACAUGAAGCUGGAAUCGCUAGUAAUCGUAGAUCAGCAUGCUACGGUGAAUACGUUCCCGGGUCUUGUACACACCGCCCGUCACACCACGAGAGUUUGUAACACCCGAAGCCGGGGAGUAACCAUUUAGGAG
Molecule: ribosomal RNA, 1460 nt
Filed under: Staphylococcus warneri
Lineage: Bacteria; Bacillati; Bacillota; Bacilli; Caryophanales; Staphylococcaceae
Description: 16S ribosomal RNA
Rfam family: Bacterial small subunit ribosomal RNA
Source: RNAcentral